Molecule: long non-coding RNA, 832 nt
Organism: Bactrocera dorsalis (oriental fruit fly)
Lineage: Eukaryota; Metazoa; Arthropoda; Insecta; Diptera; Tephritidae
Exons: 3
Source: RefSeq, a predicted model, not a curated record
GAUAGAGAACAACUAAUGACAUUCUAAACAUAUUGUAAUGUUAACUAGCUAGAAUAGGAGAGACGAAUACUCAAUUUUUCAAGAAGAAGAAUACGAAAAGCGCAGUUUCAAGAAUGAUAAAAACAAAGAUUGCGCAUUGACGAGUUCAAAUUUUGUUCGUUGUUCGUUGUAUUGCAGGCAUACAAAAUCAUGAAUAUCAUCAAAAGUUAACAUCAAUAUAAGUGAAUAUUAAUAAAAGAUAUCAAUAUAAGUGAAUAUUUUAUAGUGAACAUUAGUGAACAUUUACCUACAUAUUCAUUUAACUGAAUUUUCAUUGUAUUAUUUAAUCUUGUCUCGUUGCUGUGUUUGUUUCAACCAUUUAUAUAUAACCCAAAAGCUGGAUGCCAUUAAGAGCCGUCUCACUGCAAUUUAAAAGUCCCUAACAAACAAAAUGCCAGAAAAGGCCGAGAUGCAGACGCAUGCCGCGUCAUAGCGGCAAAGCAAACAUUUCAAUUAUCCGCAUCACCGGUGACUUGGAGGAUGAGCAUUACGUGGAGCUCGAGUCGAAAUUGCCUAUGUCAUCGGAAGAGCACGGGUGCUUCGGGGACAAACAUUCACAAAUGAAAAUGGAUAUUAGUUUUAAGUUGUAAAUAUUAGUUUUAAGUUUGACAUAUUAGUUUUAAGUUGUAAAUAUUAGUUCUAAGUUGUAUAUAUUAGUUCUAAGUUGAAGUCUCUAAAUUUAGUUUUACAAAUAUGCUUUUUUAACUAAUAACUUUUAUACUGAAGUAAACUUAAUCUUAUGUUUAAGUAAAUAUGAUUUUAUUAUUAAAUAAAGCGAAAUAAUAAAAAAAAA